Molecule: long non-coding RNA, 1236 nt
Organism: Seriola aureovittata
Lineage: Eukaryota; Metazoa; Chordata; Actinopteri; Carangiformes; Carangidae
Exons: 3
Source: RefSeq, a predicted model, not a curated record
GGAGAGAGCCUCGGAAAAUGGUGGUAUGGGGACUUGGCAGGGGAGAGGGCCCCCCAUGCCCUCUCCUCACCUUUGCUACCUCCCUCACCUCGGCUCACUCUCUGCUUUGCCCCGGACAGGAUCCCCGGUGAGUCAAUAAUGCUGAUACUCUCCAGGACCUGGUUGGGCAUCUGGGCACACUGGAACCUGGUAUUAUCAUCAGUAGACAGGAGAAAACUCACAUAAAUGAUGGUUUGCCCUCUGGAGCUUGGAAAAUAUUUUGACUUGAGGAGACAAAAACAGUCAGUGUCUUCGAGGAGCUGCAGCUACAUGUAUGGGUGUACCUCUGACAGCAAAUAGGAACCCUCAGCAGAGCGUCAACGCAGCGAGAUUAUAGAGGAUCGUUCUUCCCCAGGGUUUAAUGUACAUCAGAUGAGCUCCAGAUCUGGCAAGGAUCCUUACUCUGCUUGCGGAAAGAGCACAAAGCAAACCACACUGAGGCUAACUUUUCUCUCCCCUUGCUUCCUUCUGCUAGUUUAACGCACCUCCUCUUCCAGGGAUGCCUGGCAACACAGUGGGCAGCACUAACACUCUGCUCAGGGCAGGGAUGAGCUGGGCUGUGGCCAGAGGGUGUGGAGCUGGAGGAGUGGGGUUGUGAAUAAAUAAUUUGGGUGGAGCUGUUUUUUUCCUUUUUUCUUUUUUAACAUGGCAUCGCCUCACAAUGUCCUUAUGCAUAUUUAUAACGAUAAACACACCCUCAGGCUGCACCACUCCAGUUGUGGCUUUUAACUUCUCCAUGUAUUUAAAAUUUUUUUGAUGAGUUUUUUUUCUCUCCUCAGCUUACUGUAACAUGUCAUACGUUUACAGAUGUAACAGUUUUUCCCCUCCACAGUAUAAACACUUUUGCUCCUCCCAAACUCUGUGAACCUUCCAGGCAAUGAAUCACACAAAUAAGCUCUACUUUUCCACAUCCAUGCACCACCUGCUGGCUGUCUCAUAGAGGACACGUCCCACUGUCGCCACCCCCCACCCCCUCCCACUACCAUCAUACAGUACUCCUCAGUCAUCAUUAGUCACUCAAAGGAAUGUAUCCAGAAGAUCAGGAAUCACUGAACAGCUGGACAAAUGACUAGAUGGCCUGCAAUGUUUCAUAAAAGAAGCAAGGUUUAAUUUACAGUUUUACUAAAUGUACAUUUCUUUUUAAAAAGUGUCAUUAUACACAAUAAAUACAAUACAAAAUUAAUCUGUAAUACUAUA